Molecule: small nuclear RNA, 297 nt
Filed under: Nannospalax galili (Upper Galilee mountains blind mole rat)
Lineage: Eukaryota; Metazoa; Chordata; Mammalia; Rodentia; Spalacidae
Description: 7SK RNA (ENSNGAG00000007765.1)
Rfam family: 7SK RNA
About the family: 7SK was discovered as an abundant small nuclear RNA in the mid-70s but a possible function has only recently been suggested. Two independent studies have found that 7SK RNA binds the CDK9/cyclin T complex (known as elongation factor P-TEFb). P-TEFb activates transcription by phosphorylating the C-terminal domain of RNA polymerase II.
Source: Rfam by way of RNAcentral
AGAUGUGAGGGUGAUCUGACUGACACCUGUCACUCCAUUGAUCAUCAGGGUUGAUUCGGCUGAUCUGACUGGCUAGGUGGGUGUCUCCUUCCCUUACCGCUUCACGAACAUCCUUUCCAAAGCUACACACUCAAAAAGGCCUACCUUCCCAGAUAGAGGAGGACUGUUCUUUGGUCAAGGGUAUAUACUGGUAGCUAUGCUCCCCUGCUAGAACUUCUAAAGACACUCUCAAGAAUCAGACUUUCUUCACACUAACAAGUCUGUGCAUCACUCCUAGUAGAUUAACCAGUGUUAGGU